RNAcentral lists this ribosomal RNA (222 nucleotides) under uncultured bacterium. RNAcentral's name for it is "partial 16S ribosomal RNA". It matches the Rfam family "Bacterial small subunit ribosomal RNA", at positions 109 to 334 of the family's 1533-position model. The record is from RNAcentral.
AGUAAUACAUCGGAACGUGUCUUCUAGUGGGGGAUAACUGCCCGAAAGGGCAGCUAAUACCGCAUGAGACCUGAGGGUGAAAGCGGGGGAUCGCAUGACCUCGCGCUGGAAGAGCGGCCGAUGUCCGAUUAGCUAGUUGGUGAGGUAAAGGCUCACCAAGGCGACGAUCGGUAGCUGGUCUGAGAGGACGACCAGCCACACUGGGACUGAGACACGGCCCAG